This 251-nucleotide long non-coding RNA is filed under the name Elaeis guineensis (African oil palm). RNAcentral describes it as "long non-coding RNA (EGUI_LNC006661)". Lineage: Eukaryota; Viridiplantae; Streptophyta; Magnoliopsida; Arecales; Arecaceae. The record is from RNAcentral.
UGGGCGUAUCGAACGACACCCCGUAUCCCGACUGGAGAAUCUCCUUUCAGCUUGGCCUAUGGGACGGAGGUGAUGAUCCUGCUCGAGAUUGGGCUACCAUCGACUAGAGUCGAGCAAUACUGCGAGUCGGGCAACUCCGAGUGUCGGAGAGCCGACUUAGACCUCCUACCCGAACUCUGACGAGAGGCUCAAUUCCGCAUGGCUUCCUACUGAUAAAGAGUGGCCCGAUACUACAAUGCUAAGGUUAAGUC